This 492-nucleotide ribosomal RNA is filed under the name uncultured bacterium. Its description in RNAcentral is "partial 16S ribosomal RNA". It matches the Rfam family "Bacterial small subunit ribosomal RNA", at positions 29 to 507 of the family's 1533-position model. The record is from RNAcentral.
AGUGAACGCUGGCGGUAGGCCUAACACAUGCAGGUCGAACGGCAGCACAGUAAGAGCUUGCUCUUACGGGUGGCGAGUGGCGGACGGGUGAGGAAUACAUCGGAAUCUACUUUUUCGUGGGGGAUAACGUAGGGAAACUUACGCUAAUACCGCAUACGACCUACGGGUGAAAGCAGGGGAUCUUCGGACCUUGCGCGAUUGAAUGAGCCGAUGUCGGAUUAGCUAGUUGGCGGGGUAAAGGCCCACCAAGGCGACGAUCCGUAGCUGGUCUGAGAGGAUGAUCAGCCACACUGGAACUGAGACACGGUCCAGACUCCUACGGGAGGCAGCAGUGGGGAAUAUUGGACAAUGGGCGCAAGCCUGAUCCAGCCAUACCGCGUGAGUGAAGAAGGCCUUCGGGUUGUAAAGCCCUUUUGUUGGGAAAGAAAAGCAGCAGGUUAAUACCCCGCUGUUCUGACGGUACCCAAAGAAUAAGCACCGGCUAACUUCGUG